Molecule: ribosomal RNA, 254 nt
Filed under: uncultured bacterium
Lineage: Bacteria
Description: partial 16S ribosomal RNA
Rfam family: Bacterial small subunit ribosomal RNA
Source: RNAcentral
GACGAACCGUGCGAACGUUUUUCGGAAUCACUGGGCUUAAAGCGCGUGUAGGCGGGUCGGCGCGUCGGGCGCUGAAAUCCCCCGGCUCAACCGGGGAAGCGGCGCCGAUACGGCCGGCCUGGAGGGACGUAGGGGGGGCUGGAACUUCCGGUGGAGCGGUGAAAUGCGUUGAGAUCGGAAGGAACGCCCGUGGCGAAAGCGAGCCCCUGGACGUCUACUGACGCUGAGGCGCGAAAGCCAGGGGAGCGAACGGG